GAUUAACGCUGGCGGCGUGCCUAACACAUGCAAGUCGAACGAGGUAGCAAUACCUAGUGGCAGACGGGUGAGUAACGCGUGGUCAACCUACCGUUGAGUGGGGGAUAACUAGCCGAAAGGUUAGCUAAUACCGCAUACGUCUCCGAGGGGCAUCCCUUGGCGAUAAAAGGAGCAAUCCGCUCGAUGACGGGACCGCGUCCCAUUAGCUAGAUGGUGGGGUAACGGCCUACCAUGGCACCGAUGGGUAGCUGGUUUGAGAGAGCGACCAGCCACACUGGGACUGAGAAACGGCCCAGACUCCUACGGGAGGCAGCAGUGAGGAAUUUUCCGCAAUGGGCGCAAGCCUGACGGAGCGACGCCGCGUGUGGGAAGAAGGCCUUCGGUCGUAACC
Molecule: ribosomal RNA, 391 nt
Filed under: uncultured bacterium
Lineage: Bacteria
Description: bacterial SSU rRNA
Rfam family: Bacterial small subunit ribosomal RNA
Source: RNAcentral